CGUGUUACAGUUUUUUUCAGUCGCUAACAAGCAUUUGUCCAAGCAGUUGUCACAUUUUCAAAACUCUAAACACAAUUAGCACAGCAUCUGUCUAUUGUGGCCAUACCAUUCACACAUUUCAUGUCGUUUUCACACAAUAUGGAGUCAUUGAACACAUUUCCACAAUGCUUACAUUCUCUGAACAGACAAGCUAUACCUCCCAACAAAAUUAUGGAUCGUUUUUGUAGUAUUUACAAAUGUUAUCACACAACAUCCCACAAUAGCAAAAACAAUGUUCCAAACCUUAGAUACAGUAUAAAAACCUCUGCUUCUGCAAUGAUAUCAGUUCAAAAACAAUAUAUCUUAGCUGAUUUAUGUUUUGUAAAUUGGGCCAACCACAACUGAUUCCAAUCUGGCUUAGACUCAAUGGCAGGGGUUAUUUUUUCUAUUACAUUGACACUUAUACAAUAAAAGGAGGACUUUGAAGAAUUAUAUUUUUGGAAACAGAAACAGAAAAAGACAAACACUGUAAUGUAUGGACGAGGAAGAGUAAGAGCAAGGGGCCCAGGGAGAAGAGCAGGCCCAGUGAGAGGAGCAGGAGCAGUGAGAGGAGCAGGAGCAGUGAGAGAUGCAGUGAGAGGAGCAGUGAGAGGAGCAUGAGCAGUGAGAGGAGCAGUGAGAGGAGCAUGAGCAGUGAGAGGAGCAGUGAGAGAUGCAGGAGCAGUGAGAGGAGCAGUGAGAGGAGCAGGAGCAGUGAGGUGCAGUGAGAGGAGCAGUGAGAGAUGCAGGAGCAGUGAGAGGAGCAGUGAGAGGAGCAGGAGCAGUGAGAGGAGCAGUGAGAGAUGCAGGAGCAGUGAGAGGAGCAGUGAGAGGAGCAGGAGCAGUGAGGUGCAGUGAGAGGAGCAGUGAGAGGAGCAUGAGCAGUGAGAGGAGCAGUGAGAGGAGCAGGAGCAGUGAGAGGAGCAGUGAGUGAUUGUUUUUAUUCCCCCCCCCUUUUUUAUUCUGGCCUUUUUGCUGUUGUUGUUUUUUUUGUUCAGAAUGCUCUUAUGUGUUUUAUGGAUAUUUUGUUCACUGUUAGCAAUACUGUCAAACCUUUUCUGUUCUAUCAUACCGUGUUUCUACUGUACCUCCUGCAGUAAGCAGUAAAGGAAAAAAAUAGCUUUUUACUGGAAUGCUUGAAUGUGAACAUUACUGUACAUUUGGACAUGCAGUUCCUAACCAAGAAAUUUAGUGUAAAACAGUGAAUUGCAUGUUUUGCAUGCAAAUACCUGUAAAACUGAGACGGAAAAGUCUAUGCAGUUUUAGUAAUGUCAACAAUAGCCAGUAUUUUGAAACCUGGUGUACUUUGAUUGACUGCAUGUACCUUGUGAGAUGAAAACAAGUGUUAUUCUUUGACAGAAUAAUUUAAUUUUGAAUCAGAUUUCCAGUGUUUUGGUAAAGUUGGUGUGGGCAGAGAAAGAUGUGUUCUAUUUUGAAAUGAAGAUUUAGUAUAUAUUUAACAAAAUGUGUUUUUGAGAAGGAAAUUAUCCAUUUGGCCAAUUGUGUUUUGUAGGUGUGAGUCUGUGUUAAGAGUUUAGAAAAAGUAUCUGAAGUAUGGUUAAGCGCUUGUUAGCGAUUGAAAAAAACUGUAAAAUGAAA
Carassius gibelio (silver crucian carp) is the source of this 1617-nucleotide long non-coding RNA. RefSeq lists it as uncharacterized. Lineage: Eukaryota; Metazoa; Chordata; Actinopteri; Cypriniformes; Cyprinidae. The transcript has 4 exons. The record is from RefSeq and is a predicted model, not a curated record.